Molecule: ribosomal RNA, 497 nt
Filed under: uncultured bacterium
Lineage: Bacteria
Description: partial 16S ribosomal RNA
Rfam family: Bacterial small subunit ribosomal RNA
Source: RNAcentral
GAUGAACGCUGGCGGCGUGCCUAAUACAUGCAAGUCGAGCGAACAGAUAAGGAGCUUGCUCCUUUGACGUUAGCGGCGGACGGGUGAGUAACACGUGGGUAACCUACCUAUAAGACUGGAAUAACUCCGGGAAACCGGGGCUAAUGCCGGAUAACAUUUAGAACCGCAUGGUUCUAAAGUGAAAGAUGGUUUUGCUAUCACUUAUAGAUGGACCCGCGCCGUAUUAGCUAGUUGGUAAGGUAACGGCUUACCAAGGCAACGAUACGUAGCCGACCUGAGAGGGUGAUCGGCCACACUGGAACUGAGACACGGUCCAGACUCCUACGGGAGGCAGCAGUAGGGAAUCUUCCGCAAUGGGCGAAAGCCUGACGGAGCAACGCCGCGUGAGUGAUGAAGGUCUUCGGAUCGUAAAACUCUGUUAUUAGGGAAGAGCAAAUGUGUAAGUAACUGUGCACGUCUUGACGGUACCUAAUCAGAAGGCCACGGCUAACUACGUG